Papaver somniferum (opium poppy) is the source of this 2410-nucleotide long non-coding RNA. RefSeq lists it as uncharacterized. The transcript is spliced from 3 exons. The record is from RefSeq and is a predicted model, not a curated record. NCBI's taxonomy places the organism in Eukaryota, Viridiplantae, Streptophyta, Magnoliopsida, Ranunculales, Papaveraceae.
UUAAUAAAUAGUUCACAAUUAGUUAAUACCGAUCAAUAGGAUCUAUUUGUUUUGUGCACAGUACUCUUUAAAAAAGUGUGCACAAAAUUGGACUUGUUUGAGACCAUAACGAAACUUGUAGAAAUAUGCGGGGGCGGUGCUUACCUUCAAGGCUAAUGAUAUAGAGAGCUUAAUCUAACUUUCAUUCCCCUAAUUACUCCCAUCUCUCCUCCCUGGUUGUAGAAUACGAGUUUACACAAACCCUAUAUUCUUCUAUUUCAACUAAAAUCUUCGGAACGAUGGAAAAUCAAUGAAGCCAUCUUCCUCUUUUCCAUUGUAUAUUCUCUCUCUGUCUUUCUUCAAUUUCAAUCGCAUCUUCCGUUUUUUUUAAAAAGAAAUAUUUUAAUUGUUUCGCUUUAUUUGUUGCUGAGAUUAAUUCAAGGGGUAAUAUAAAUUUAAUCGUGUAUGAGUAAGAUGUGUUUAAUUGUUGUAUGAAAUUGAAUUCGAUCCCGCAUAGAAGGAAGAGAUGGAUGUAACUAAUGGUACACUAUAUAAAGUAUGGGGGUUUGCUGUUAAACCAUCCCUAGCGGUAUGUAUGUUGACGGAGGCUAUGACCCCUACUGCAUUAUAGGUGGCAGCUCUUUUGGUGUCUAUUGUCGUGUUUAGGUAGGUGGCAGCAGCUCCUUUGGAGAAAUUGGGAAGGAAUGGAACUGAAUUGAAGAUGAAUAAGUUGAUCCGUACAUUUCAUACUUUUAAUUUUUGCACUAUCAGGUUCCAUCAUAAACUUUUAGGUCUCCUAAUAUUUAAGGAAGUGGUAAGUGGUCAUGUAUGGUUCUACAUACUUUUGUCUAUGAUUGUGUAAAUUAUCUCGGGAUGUGUUUUAGGGAUGGAAUGGGAGGAAGUUGAAGCAUUUGUAAGACAACUUGAUGGUUAUGUAUAUAAUUAAAGGAUUUGAUUCUCAACUAUCUCUGGGUACAAUAGUAGAAGUUGCUCUAGCUUUAAUUUAAGGUCUGACACCUGCGGUGAAAGGAUAUUGUAGGAUCAUGUGUCUCCAGUGACUAGACCUCUGAUUCAGAUUACACUUUUUGCAAGGAAAAUUUAAUGAAAUUAUUGUGUGUUAUGAAAUGAAUACAUGUUUUGACAUUUGUUCAGUAAUAAUUAGAAUUAAAGUGUACAACAAAGAACCUAGAAUUGUCACCGUGUAAUUUCAUAACAUCAUACUUCUUUCGAAAAUUACUAAUAAAUACUCGCGCUCUAGGCAAGAAAAUCAUACUAACGAAUUCUGAUGAGGAAAUUAUUCCCAUAACCCGUGAAACAGAAAAAGACAACAAAUUAGUAGUUGUGCAAUCUAACAACAAGGCUUGAAGAGAAAUCCUUUUUUUUUAGAAUUACAAUAAAAAAAAAUUCAUGUUAGUUUUGAUUAUUUUUAAUUAAUUUUAUUAUUCCCUGUUUUUAAUUUUAUUAAUUGACUACUUUUAACAUUAUCAUUUUUUAGUAUUUUACUAUUUUUAUUGUCUAUAUUUCUCAAAUUUUGAACUCCAAAACAAUUACCAUCACUAAUACGUAAUUUGCUCUGCAAAACUUCUUGGGCCGUGCAACGCACGGGCACGAUAAUUAAUUUUAAUUAAAAGAAAUAUUAGGGAAAGACUUUGUGGUUCUAGUUAGAUGUAACGAAACAUUGUGCUUGCAAAUUUGAAUUAAAAGAAAUAAACAAAAAAGAAGAAGGGAAUAGUAGUACCUCAAUCAUGUCUCCAACAUUGACGAUAAAAGCAUGAAGGAGGGGUUUCUCUAGAAGCCAUUUUCCAUCUUUACGGAUUUGAAGCCCAUCUGUUUCGUUAAUUUGUAGAAGAAUCGUCAAAGCACAAGCAUCCGAGUGUGGUGAUGCACCUAAUACCUGCUCUGGUUUUGGGCAAGGAGGAUAGUAACUCAACCUCAUUCUUUGCCAACAGUCAUUAAAUAAAUCUAUCAUCUCGUUAGAGUCCAUGUUUAAGCUUAGUCUUAUGGGCUAGAUAUUUUGCUCAUAGAUUGGCCAUCCACGUCAGCAUGGGCAACCUCCUAAGUCCUAUGGGAUGACUAAUCUAGCAGCGGGACCACCAUAUAACGCCGAACUCUUCGGCGCUUUAAAUCUCAGCCGUUAGAUCAGAAAAUUUUCUCCCAACGCUGAAAUACGGUUCAGCGUUUAGACCACUUUUUGAGCGUCGAACGGUUCAGCGUUUCAAUCUCGCUGAUAGUUGGACUGCGAGCACCUGGUAGGAGAGAGAACUAUCAACUAUCACUGUUAACUUUUUUCCAACACUUAUUUUUUGAUUUGCAACACUUUUUGGGCAAUCUAGCGCUUCAAUCUAGCCCAUAGAAAUUAGUCUUAGAGCUUUUGACAUUUGUCCAAGGAGAAUCAUGGUCAGUUUUUUUAAUCCUAACGAAUAAGCCUCCA